Molecule: long non-coding RNA, 524 nt
Filed under: Callithrix jacchus (white-tufted-ear marmoset)
Lineage: Eukaryota; Metazoa; Chordata; Mammalia; Primates; Cebidae
Description: lncRNA (ENSCJAG00000051450.2)
Source: RNAcentral
GUCUUCAUUCUUCUGUUUGGACUCUACCCUGAUGAGAUUUAAUCCCUCCAGACCCAUGAGAAGGAGGCACUGUCUUCAACAAUGUACAUGAAGGAGUGAAUCACCUAGAAAAACCUGGCUUCAGUGGCCAGGUCCAGCAUUCCACAUCAGUGGUGAUCAGUUUACUGAGAAGGAAGCCAUGUGAUGUACAGGUUCUUCAAAAGAAAAAUCAAGCUUUGUCUGAAGGCCAAGCUUUAUUACAAGGAGGGAUCAAUUUCCACUAUUUAAGGAUAUCAAAGAGGUUUCAAAUCACCUUCAAUAUUGCUCAAUUAGUUGAAAGUGAGUUUCAUUGUGGACCUAUAUUUUUCUGUAUCCCUGUCAUUACUCAUAGUAAUGACCUAAUAUUUAAGAUCCAAUUCAGACCUCUUAUGAGGGUGAAAUCAAUUACUUUAUUUAGGUCAAUUAUAUUGAAUUCUAUACUCAAAUAUUUUACAAAUACAGCUUUGUUUGUUUAUUCCUUUGUUUACUUUAUUUUCCCAUUGUAA